UCCGAAGGGGGCUAGCGUUGUUCGGAAUCACUGGGCUUAAAGGGCGCGUAGGCGGGUUCGCACGUCAGGGGUGAAAUCUUUCAGCUUAACUGGAAAACAGCCCCUGAUACUGCGAGUCUCGAGGGAGGUAGGGGCAUGUGGAACUUCCGGUGGAGCGGUGAAAUGCGUAGAUAUCGGAAGGAACGCCGGUGGCGAAAGCGACGUGCUGGACCUCUUCUGACGCUGAGGCGCGAAAGCUAGGGGAGCAAACGGG
RNAcentral lists this ribosomal RNA (253 nucleotides) under uncultured bacterium. RNAcentral's name for it is "partial 16S ribosomal RNA". It matches the Rfam family "Bacterial small subunit ribosomal RNA", at positions 524 to 776 of the family's 1533-position model. The record is from RNAcentral.